CACGAGGCCCUUUUCAGGGCCACAAUUAAAUACCUCAACCUAGUUU
This is a non-coding RNA of Operophtera brumata (winter moth), 46 nucleotides long. Lineage: Eukaryota; Metazoa; Arthropoda; Insecta; Lepidoptera; Geometridae. The record is from Rfam.